GUAAUGAUUGAGAACUCAAAUGGGUAUGCACAAAUGCUCAAGAAAACAACCGUAAUGCAAAGAAAUAGUAGGUUCCAACGAUUUGGGAUGAAUUUGAGGAAGAAAAUGAUUGAAUGAAAUAGGAACAGAAACAGUUACCCAAAUGAUGAGACUGAUUCGGUGAUCCAACCCAAAUUUCUUAGUAAAAUUUCAGAGAUAUUGCAGCCUGCGAAUCACCUAUGUGGGAGUGAGAGAUUUGAAGCGGACAAGAUCGGAGUUGGUUAAAAGCAGCACCUGAAAUAAGAAACCGGAAAGCAGGCUCUUUUCAAGGUGUAAUAUGUAUAUGCUGUACAAUUUUAUUGCUAGUUGGAACAGUUUG
Molecule: long non-coding RNA, 358 nt
Filed under: Panax ginseng (ginseng)
Lineage: Eukaryota; Viridiplantae; Streptophyta; Magnoliopsida; Apiales; Araliaceae
Description: long non-coding RNA (PGIN_LNC005094)
Source: RNAcentral